Long non-coding RNA from Hemiscyllium ocellatum (epaulette shark), 664 nucleotides. RefSeq lists it as uncharacterized. NCBI's taxonomy places the organism in Eukaryota, Metazoa, Chordata, Chondrichthyes, Orectolobiformes, Hemiscylliidae. The record is from RefSeq and is a predicted model, not a curated record. The transcript has 6 exons.
UCCUCGCGGACCGCGCGGAUGUGCGGGCGGAGAGCUGUCGCUACCACUUUCUCUGGAAGUUCAUUCCACACAGGCUCGUGUGUUAAAGUGACAGGCAGCUGGAAGCUCGGGUCUGUUUUUGCAGCAGAACGUAGAUCAUCAGUCGCCAUUUCCGCCACCUCCACUGAGAUGCUGCCAGACACAGGAUGAGGCUGUCACUGGCUCGGCCAGCAUUUAUUGCUGCGUUUACCCAGAGGGCAGUUAAGAAUCAACCACGUUGCUAUAGGUCUGGAGUCCCAUGCAGACCAGACCAGAUCCCAGUGAUCAGUGCCAAAGCCCCAUUGCCUGUGGAGAGGGUGAUGUUUGAUUUCCCUGUCCAGCUGCAGUUCAUGUGGUGAAGGUGCUCCCACAAUGUGGUUGGGUGGACAUUCAGAUGGUAAUCUCAGUAAUUGUAACGCCAAACUGUGACAAAAUUACUCAAUUCAUCAGGAGCUGGAUAUUCACAUUGUGUGGUGCUAGACGGUGAAGAUUUGCAGACUGAAAUCUCAAAAUCAUGUGCAGAUUGUGAUUAAGUUGCCUAGUGCUUAAAGAACCAAAGAUGGAGAAUGACUCUGCCAAAAUCCUGCAACACUCUCCCUCCCAGCAUUGUCAGUCUAUCUAUGCCAAAUGGACUGCGAAUGGUUCA